This 252-nucleotide ribosomal RNA is filed under the name uncultured bacterium. RNAcentral describes it as "partial 16S ribosomal RNA". It matches the Rfam family "Bacterial small subunit ribosomal RNA", at positions 524 to 776 of the family's 1533-position model. The record is from RNAcentral.
UACGGAGGGGCAAGCGUUGUUCGGAAUUAUUGGGCGUAAAGCGUAUGUAGGCGGCUAAGUAAGUCAGGCGUGCAAGCCCGUGGCUCAACCACGGAAUUGCGUUUGAAACUGUUUAGCUUGAGUGCAGGAGAGGAAAGCGGAAUUCCCAGUGUAGCGGUGAAAUGCAUUGAUAUUGGGAAGAACAUCUGUGGCGAAGGCGGCUUUCUGGUCUGCUACUGACGCUGAGAUACGAAAGCCAGGGUAGCGAACGGG